UUUGUUUUUCCCUUUUUCCCCCUUUUCCCUCUCCUCCCUCCCCAGACUCACCCCGCUGCCAGCAAGCUGCCCCUGAAGGACAGCUUCACGUUUGAUGACUACAGGUGGGCGGUGUCUUCAGUGAUGACACGGCAGAACCAGAUCCCCACUGAGGACGGGGGCCGCAUCACUCUGGCCCUCAUCCCCCUGUGGGACAUGUGUAACCACACCAAUGGACUGAUCACCACCGGAUACAACCUUGAGGAUGACCGCUGUGAAUGUGUGGCCCUACAGGACUACAAAGAGAACGAACAGGUGAACA
This is a long non-coding RNA of Notothenia coriiceps (black rockcod), 301 nucleotides long. RefSeq lists it as uncharacterized. The transcript is spliced from 3 exons. The record is from RefSeq and is a predicted model, not a curated record. Lineage: Eukaryota; Metazoa; Chordata; Actinopteri; Perciformes; Nototheniidae.